AGAGGAAAAGGCAGAGGCAGAGGCAGAGGCAGAGGCAGAGGCAGAGGCAGAAGGGAAGGCAGAGGCAGAGGAGCAGAGGCAGAAGCAGAGGUCGAGGUAGAGGCAGAGGCAGAGGCAGAGGCAGAGUCAGGGGCAGAGUCAGAGGCAGAGGUCAGAACCAGAGAGGAAGAGAGGCAGAGAGGGAGAGGGAGAAGCAGAGGCAGAGGGGCAGAGGCAGAGGCAGAGAGGACAAGGCAGAGGCAGAAGCAGAGGCAGAGAGGCAGAGAGGCAGAGGCAGAGGAUUAGAGGCAGAGGCAGAGGUCAAGGCAGAGGCAGAGGCAGAGGCAGAGGCAGAGGGGCAGAGAGGCAGAGAGGCAGAGAGGCAGAGAGGCAGAGAGGCAGAGAGGCAGAGGAGCAGAGGCAGAGGCAGAGGCAGAGGCGAGAACCAGAGAGGAAGAGAGGCAGAGAGGGAGAGGCAGAGAGGCAGAGACAGGCAGAGGCAGAGGCAGAGGAGCAGAGGCAGAGGCAGAGGUUGAGGUAGAGGCAGAGGCAGGGGCAGAGGCAGAGGCAGAGGCAGAGGCAGAGGCAGAGGCAGAGGCAGGGGCAGAGGCAGGGAGGGAGAGGCAGAGGCAGAGAGGCCAAGGCAGAGCCAGAGGCAGAGGGGCAGAAGUAGAGAGGCAGAGAGGCAGAGACAGAGGCAGAGGCAGAGAAGCAGAGGCAGAGGCUGAGAAGCCGAGGCAGAGGCAGAGGGGCAGAAGCAGAGGCAGAGGCAGAGGGGCAGAGAGGCAGAGAGGCAGAGAGGCAGAGAGGCAGAGAGGCAGAGAGGCAGAGGCAGAGGAGCAGAGGCAGAGGAGCAGAGGCAGAGGCAGAGAGGCAGAGAGGCAGAGGCAGAGAGGCAGAGAGGCAGAGGCAGAGAGGG
Apodemus sylvaticus (European woodmouse) is the source of this 898-nucleotide long non-coding RNA. RefSeq lists it as uncharacterized. The record is from RefSeq and is a predicted model, not a curated record. NCBI's taxonomy places the organism in Eukaryota, Metazoa, Chordata, Mammalia, Rodentia, Muridae. The transcript has 2 exons.